This 284-nucleotide small nuclear RNA is filed under the name Chinchilla lanigera (long-tailed chinchilla). Its description in RNAcentral is "7SK RNA (ENSCLAG00000021743.1)". It matches the Rfam family "7SK RNA", at positions 42 to 331 of the family's 331-position model. From Rfam's summary of the family: 7SK was discovered as an abundant small nuclear RNA in the mid-70s but a possible function has only recently been suggested. Two independent studies have found that 7SK RNA binds the CDK9/cyclin T complex (known as elongation factor P-TEFb). Lineage: Eukaryota; Metazoa; Chordata; Mammalia; Rodentia; Chinchillidae. The record is from RNAcentral.
GAUCACGAGGGUUGAUUGACCCGGCUGGUCCGGCAGGUUAGGUGGGUGUCCCCUUCCUCCCUUGUCGCUUCAUGCGUGUCUCAGAGGAAGCUACAUGCUCAGUGGAAGAGCAGGACCAUCCCUCGUAGAGAUGGACCAUUUCCUCAAUCAAGGGUGUACUAGUAGCUGCAUUCCCCUGCUAGAAUCUCCAGCAAGCAUUCAAGAAAUGCAGGGAGGGAGAUAAGAGAGAGAAAAAUGGGGUAUUAAUAUGAUACAAGACUUGCCAUGUACAUGUUCUAACUAUU